CUCGUCGUAGGUCCUACCUUAUGCUGGGGCAGUUCUAGAAAAGAAUCACCACCUUGCUUUUUGAAACUGGGGAUUUUAAAAAAAUCAAGUUUGUAGCUGUUCUGCUUCAGGAAGAAGCCCCCAUGGUAUCUGGAACUGCCAUCAAGGAGAUCUCUGGUGAAGUGAUCUGUUCCAUCUGCUUAGAAUAUUUCACAGACCUGGUGAUUCUUGUAGGCUGUGGGCACUGCUUCUGCCAAGCCUGCCUCACCCAGUACUGGCCGGACUCUGAUACAGAGUUUUCCUGCCCUCACUGCAAAGGAGUAGUUUGAGAAAGGAACUUCAAGCCGAACCGGUCACUGGCAAACAUUAACAUUGUCAAACUGGAGGAAGAAGAAAGAGCAGAAGAGAAAACUGUGUGCAAGGAAGAGGAAGAUCCCGUUGCCUUGGGAUAUGAGAAAUCCGGGGAGCAUCGGGCUGAUGGCGAAUUUCCUGUGGAUGAGACAUCCCAAGAGAGUAAGAUGACUGAAAGUGAAGGGACAGGAACCAUCAACGGCCGCAAGGGCCGUGGCGUUUCAUGGCGACACAAGGAGACCUUGGAUCUACUGGAUAUCUGGGGAGAGCAGAAGAUCCAGGACCAGCUCCGAAGCAGCCACCGGAAUAUUGAUUUUUUUGAGUACAUUGCCCAGGAGAUGACCACCCGAGGCCACCAUCGUACUGCCGUAGAGUGCCGUUCCAAGACCAAAAUCAUGCGGCUGGAGUAUAAGCGUGUGAUUGGUCACAAUUCCAGGGCAGGGAGCAAUAAGGUGACUUGCCCUUUCUACAAGCAACUGCACCGCAUCCUUCGUGGAGAUGCCAGCGUCAGACCCAAGCGGGUUUCACGAAGCCUGAAUUUCAAACAGGGCCCACAGCAAGAAGCUGUACCAGAUCCCCCAGUUAUGGAGGAGCAGUUCUCUCCUGGGGAUCUAAACAUAAUUAACAUUGGAGACUAUCUCAAAAAGGAAAGCAUAGACAACGUGGCAGACGGAACGGUGGCUGUUCAUGGCAACGAGGAAGAACUGCUAAAUGUGGGGAAUUUUACACAAACUGAGGAGGAAGAGAGCAAUGGAGGCAGUGAACCUCCUGCUGUCCCUUCAAAGGAACCCGAGCCUCCCACCACUCGACUCUCCUUGAUUAGGAACAAAAAGAAGAGGGAAAGGGCAGAGAGCAUGUUUCAGCUCUUCAUGGAGCAGGCCCGAGAGGACUCCCAAAAAGAGCAGGAGGAGAUGGCGCGGGACAGAGUUGUACUGGCCAGGUUUCUGACGGCAUUUGAGCGAGACGCCGCAGACAGCCGAGAGGAGAGGAGGCCGUGCCUGGAGGCGAUGCGUGCCAACUGCGAUAUGUUGCAGGGCAUCGUGAAUGGCUUAAACAAGCUGACGGACGCCAUCGCCGGCCAGCAGCAAGCCAGCACCGGGAGCCAAGCUAGACCCCCCUUGCAUUCGGCCACUCACAAAGAUUUGCCCCUCAAUUCCACUCUGGGCGCAAGGAGUGGCUUACUCCAAGAAGUGCCACGUUCAUACCCUACCAGCAAUGCCAGUGCGGCACCAAAAAGCGGCUCUCGGAAGCCUAGCCAUGGGACUCACCCUCUUCCAAGGGUGAUGUGUAAUCUCGGGUAACAGAUGACAAAGUGUCUUUGUUAAGAUUUCGUGACAAUGAAAGGUAGACCAGGCUAAGGGAGAAGGAAGUUGGGGAAAGCGGGAAGCUUUGGAAGAGGGCCCUUCCAGAAGUGUGGAAGCUUGGUGGCUUUUGCAGAUAGACAAGUCUGAAGCCCAAGGAUACCUGCAUGCACUAGGCGGGAAAUCACAGCGUACUUAAAGUAGCUUUCUCUUUAUGCUGUACCGGCCAGUGCUUCCAGGCAGAGCCACCUCCCAUCGUCCCCAGGAUUUUCUCUCGGCAGGUGCUAAAACAGCAAAGAAAACCAACUUCCAUCAGGGAGGGCCAUUCUGACAAUGAGGUGGAGAACACAUUGGCUUUCCAUCAGCCUGAGCCAAAGUGAACACAGGUGGGGGAUGAGGAGAGUUGCAGUCCACUACCCAAAGGUUUCUGACCCCUUUUUUUCUAAAACAUAAAUCUCAUUUCACCCUUCCCCCCCCCAAAAAAAAAUCCAUUAUGAUCAGUGGACCACAAUCUCUGGUUAACCCCAUGUAGGUGAGACUCUCUCUCUUUCUCUCUUUCUCCCCCCCCCCCCUUUCUCCUAGGCACACCCUUGUGUGUGUAUAUUAGAGAAAAUUUGCGAAGUAGUUGGUUCCCAGUCAUCCCAGUUUUGGCCUCUGAUCUGCCCCAUCGGUCUAAUUGAAGGGGGCUGGUUGUGAGGGGACAGACUCCCCCUCAGAGUGUUCUUCUAAAGUCGGGGAGCAAACCAAGUCUUCUUCGACGUGCUCAGACAUAACACCGUGCAUGAGCUCCUUACCCUAUUAAAACAGCCAGUUUCUUUAGAGGUCUCAGGCGGUGGAAAAUAUGGCGGGUGAUAUCUCUGGACGUUUCAUAGCUGUCCAUCUUGAAUUAUAGCACGUUGGGUGGGAUAGGCUAUAUACUGAAGUGUUUCUUGGGGGAACGCAGUGAACCAGGUCUUUCCACGUUGAUGGAAACCUUUCAGCGAUCCUGUGAAGGCACUUU
RNAcentral lists this long non-coding RNA (2631 nucleotides) under Pogona vitticeps (central bearded dragon). RNAcentral describes it as "lncRNA (ENSPVIG00000004157.1)". Lineage: Eukaryota; Metazoa; Chordata; Lepidosauria; Squamata; Agamidae. The record is from RNAcentral.